RNAcentral lists this ribosomal RNA (315 nucleotides) under uncultured bacterium. Its description in RNAcentral is "bacterial SSU rRNA". It matches the Rfam family "Bacterial small subunit ribosomal RNA", at positions 28 to 334 of the family's 1533-position model. The record is from RNAcentral.
GAUGAACGCUAGCGAUAGGCUUAACACAUGCAAGUCGAGGGGUAACAUGGGAGUAGCUUGCUACUUCUGAUGACGACCGGCGGAUGGGUGAGUAACGCGUAUGCAACUUGCCUCUUAGUGGGGAAUAACCCGGAGAAAUCCGGACUAAUACCGCAUACACUUAGUUAUCCGCAUGGAUGAUUAAGGAAAGAUUUGUUGCUAAGAGAUAGGCAUGCGUUCCAUUAGUUAGUUGGUGAGGUAGCGGCUUACCAAGGCGAUGAUAGGUAGCCGGCCUGAGAGGGUGGACGGCCAAAAGGGGACUGAGAUACGGCCCUU